AGGGUUUGAUUAUGGCUCAGGAUGAACGCUGGCGGCGUGCUUAACACAUGCAAGUCGAACGAAGCAUAUAGAGACGAGUAUUUCGGUAUGAGUAACUAUAUGACUGAGUGGCGGACGGGUGAGUAACGCGUGGAUAACCUGCCUCAUACAGGGGGAUAACAGUUAGAAAUGACUGCUAAUACCGCAUAAGCGCACAGUGCUGCAUGGCACAGUGUGAAAAGCUCCGGCGGUAUGAGAUGGAUCCGCGUUUGAUUAGCUAGUUGGUGGGGUAAAGGCCUACCAAGGCGACGAUCAAUAGCCGACCUGAGAGGGUGACCGGCCACAUUGGGACUGAGACACGGCCCAA
This 346-nucleotide ribosomal RNA is filed under the name uncultured bacterium. Its description in RNAcentral is "bacterial SSU rRNA". It matches the Rfam family "Bacterial small subunit ribosomal RNA", at positions 8 to 334 of the family's 1533-position model. The record is from RNAcentral.